CCUACGGGAGGCAGCAGUAAGGAAUAUUGGACAAUGGUGGCAACACUGAUCCAGCCAUGCCGCGUGCAGGAUGAAGGGCUACGCGUUGUAAACUGCUUUUGUACGGGAGAUAGUACCGUAAGAAUAAGCAUCGGCUAACUUCGUGCCAGCAGCCGCGGUAAUACGAAGGAUGCAAGCGUUAUCCGGAUUUAUUGGGUUUAAAGGGUGCGUAGGCGGACUUAUAAGUCAGUGGUGAAAUCUCGAUGCUUAACAUCGAACGUGCCAUUGAUACUGUAGGUCUUGAGUACAGAUGCCGUUGGCGGAAUGUGUCAUGUAGCGGUGAAAUGCAUAGAUAUGACACAGAACACCGAUUGCGAAGGCAGCUGACGAAACUGUACUGACGCUGAGGCACGAAAGCGUGGGGAUCAAACAGGAUUAGAUACCCUUGUAGUC
Molecule: ribosomal RNA, 432 nt
Filed under: uncultured bacterium
Lineage: Bacteria
Description: partial 16S ribosomal RNA
Rfam family: Bacterial small subunit ribosomal RNA
Source: RNAcentral